CAAACGGCUCUUUUCAGAGCCACCCCACAUUUCCACCAAAAGCUAG
Dipodomys ordii (Ord's kangaroo rat) is the source of this 46-nucleotide non-coding RNA. The record is from Rfam. NCBI's taxonomy places the organism in Eukaryota, Metazoa, Chordata, Mammalia, Rodentia, Heteromyidae.